Molecule: non-coding RNA, 63 nt
Filed under: Sus scrofa (pig)
Lineage: Eukaryota; Metazoa; Chordata; Mammalia; Artiodactyla; Suidae
Source: RNAcentral
CCCACCCCGGCCUCGCCUCCUCCCCCUCCCAGGGAAGGGCCAUGGUGCGGGUUGGGGUGGGGC